This 200-nucleotide ribosomal RNA is filed under the name uncultured organism. RNAcentral describes it as "partial small subunit ribosomal RNA". It matches the Rfam family "Bacterial small subunit ribosomal RNA", at positions 1183 to 1382 of the family's 1533-position model. The record is from RNAcentral.
CGUCAAGUCAGCAUGGCCUUUAUGUCCAGGGCUACACACGUGCUACAAUGGCCGGUACAAAGCGCUGCAAGCCCGCGAGGGUGAGCUAAUCGCAUAAAGCCGGUCUCAGUUCGGAUUGCAGGCUGCAACUCGCCUGCAUGAAGCUGGAAUCGCUAGUAAUCGCGGAUCAGCAUGCCGCGGUGAAUACGUUCCCGGGCCUU